RNAcentral lists this long non-coding RNA (1863 nucleotides) under Gallus gallus (chicken). Lineage: Eukaryota; Metazoa; Chordata; Aves; Galliformes; Phasianidae. The record is from RNAcentral.
ACAGCGCUGAUCGGCGUGACUGCAGCACCAUGGACAGCGCCACUGAUGGCGGCCUCACGCAUGGCUGGCCGCCUGGCUGGUGGCUGCGUUGCUGCCGAGUCCUUUCCAGGCACGGAAGCUGAAGAAGGUGCUCGCCCCAUAGGUGAGCAUCACGAGGCCGGCGAAGAACUGGAAGACGAGCAGAGUGGUGUGUGAGCAUGCAGUCCCAGAAGCUCGGCCGCAGCCCGUACACCCAUACUUACGGAGGCAGCGGCUCUCCUGUUGUAAUCCCACUGGCGCCACGAGGUGGGACGCUGAGAAAAUAACUGAAAAAUCCAAGCUGGACUACAUAUGCAGUUUCUUUCUGUUUGGCAGUGGCACAGAUGUAAGCUCGAGGGUACGUUGGGCACAGACCUGUUCACCACCGUGUCAUUUACUGCUCUAAAUAGCAUGCUGUACAAAAUGUGUGUUUGCUUUUAGCUGUAGGCAGUGUUAGUGAAGCAGCACGAGUGCUUGUAGUGGGGCUGUAGCCAUAAGCCUGCCACCAAACCCCAGCUGCUUCUGUCUUGACAGUUGGAAUUCAAACGUAUUUGGAGCCAUAGUGACCCUCUGCUCUAAUGCUGUCAGAUGUGUUAAUCUGCUGCUUAAUGACAUGCUCAGGCAAUACGUGUCUAAAAGCGUGAGAGCAGACAGAAGCAGGCUGCUGAUGCUGCAGAGCACUGAGUUUUCCCUGCCAGUGCAGCCAGUAGCUGUCACCCAGUGAGGACCUGGGCAGAGCAAAAGUACAGCCUGCUUUGCAGGGGGAAAGCCGCCUACCAGGACAAAGGAGGUGAAAUCCUGCUGCUGUUGGCUUCUGCCAGUCAUCUCAGCAGUGCUAGCGUUUGAUUGCUGAAAUGAAGUAGUUUAUUUGAGCAGCAGUGAGGACUCUGGGCCAUGCAGGCUUCUCCCUCAAGCAUGGUCAGCAUGCAGGGGUGGGAAGCAAACAGGGCGAUGCUCUGAGGUGGCUGUUACCAGAGGAAAACAGUAAGAACGUUGGGUAAUAGCUGCAUCUUGUUUGGAUUAGAGCUAUGUUCCCUUUUGAAUCCUGAGGUUAAAACUGGAGGUAUUGAAGACCUCAGGCUGCCAUUUAUACAUGGACAGGAGCUCUUUGGUUAACUCCUUCCCUCUGACUUUUUAAGGUUUUAUCAUAUUUUAAAAGAAAUUCCAUUGAAAUGUUUUAGUUGUGAAUUGUUGAGCUAAAUUAAUUCUUAACUAAAACCAGAAUUUCCCUUUUUAAUUUUAACUGGAACAAAAUCCUUACUCUCCUGUUGCAAUUGCUCUGGAUAAUUAUGUGAAGUCAUGGCAGUAUGAGUGGAUACCCAGACAGUUACUUCCCAGAGGGAGGUGGUUGUGUUUUAAGCAAAGCCUAUUGUAACUUCAGAGUCCAGGUGGGGCACACAGUGUUGGGUGAGUUCACAUUUGGAUGGGAUUUAUAUCUCCGUUUACUGUCUACCGAAGUCACCGUUUCACAGGGGCGUGGUUCCUCACUUCUUGCUGUUGAUAGAUCUGUGCUGUUUUGCUUUAUUAACUCACAAAUUCACUGUUGAGCAUUUUCAGUUGAAUUUAUUUUGUGAAAUAAUUCAAGUAGCGUGUUGACUAGAUGUACUGGUUUGGUUGUGAGGUGGGAUGUGGUUGACCUCUGUCUUAUUUGGCUGUGAACAAUCUCCAUGGGAGCAUUCAUGCUCUUUGUAAGCACUUGGCGUGCUGAUACCAACUCACAGUUAAGUUUUGUUGUUGCUCCUUUUUUUUUUUUUCAUUUCAAUUUUAGACCAUGAGAAUUUGCACCAAGGCUCCCCUGGUUUGAGUGGAGCUGCCUGGAUCAAACGCUGCCUGCUCUGCCCUGGC